Molecule: long non-coding RNA, 1667 nt
Organism: Lampris incognitus (smalleye Pacific opah)
Lineage: Eukaryota; Metazoa; Chordata; Actinopteri; Lampriformes; Lampridae
Exons: 4
Source: RefSeq, a predicted model, not a curated record
UGCUGAAGCUCCACACGCCGCUGUGAACUGGUGGGGAAAAAAAACAAAACAGAUUUUCCAGAAGAAUUUAAAAGUUAAAAAGGUUGUUGUUAUUUUUUUGGUUAGUUCAGGCUGCAGACAAGCUGUAUCGUUCGUCUCCACAUGCAAUAUCACUCGGUUGGUAGAAGAUGGUAACAAGCUAAGCCACCCCUAUAGCCAGGAUGACAGGAAUCGUGGCUCCAGGAAAGCAGUGUCUAGCUGCGUUACAGAAACUGUUUAUCCUGAUUAUGGAAAUCCCCACUUCUGAUGUGGUUGGAGAGAAGAGAGGAUGAGGAGCUGACGACUGUGGGUUCUCAGGGCUGGAGAGAGAAGAAUCUGUGUGAAUGUCGCUGGCUGGCAAGUGUUGUGACGAGGCGGUGACGGCAGACCUGCGAGAGGGAUUCCUUGCACACUAGUGUGCCGACUCGGGACGAGGAAGACUUCCAUUUCUGAGCACGGCCCCUCUCAGUCUUACGACGGGAAGCCAUUGACAGGGAUGAGGGCUGAGGAUUUUGCUUUGCAGUGGAGCGGCAAGCCACCUGAACACUGAUAGCUACAAGAGGGGACACCUCGUCAUCUCCCCGACACAGUUGAAGGCCGUUGCUAGGAAGAAGGCCAUCUGGACAACUUCAAAGGUUCACUCACCACGGCAUCAAGGCGUAUCGGGUCAGAGACACACAAACAAUUAUAUACACAUUUGGGGAAAGAUGAGGUCCAACACAGAGACAGCCAACUCAGCCAACAGAGAGACAGACAACUCAGCCAACAGAGAGACAGACAACUCAGCCAACAGAGAGACAGCCAACUCCGCCAACAGACAGACAGCCAACUCCGCCAACAGACAGACAGACAACUCAGCCAACAACAAGAGACUUUCAAAUAGACAUGAUGUGGCGCAGACAAGAGAGACAGACACAAUUCUAUAACUAUAGCCUACAUUUAAAUGAUUAAAAUGUUUUAUAUAACAAAAUACAUCGAAUAAAAAAAUUAGUCUUUUUUUCCCCCAAAAAAUUACGUAAGCGGUCCCCAGAGGUCGAGGGCCAUGGAUUUCUGGUCCCCGGGAAUGAAACGUUUGCGAAAGGCCGCAUCCUUUAUCGUCGUCUGGACCAAAUGACUCAUAGCCACAGACCCAGAGAUCGGAUUUGAGAACACUCCGGAAUUCUGCCGACUGAGUGUUGAUCUGACCCUUCCCACAAUUGGCGGAAUGGGUUGAUUUCUGCUAAGCAUGUGGAAAUAAUUUAGUCUUGAGACGUUCGGGACUGGAGGGAAGUGUGUUCUUAUGAUGGUAUCGUCUACGGCAGUCAACCCCCCCGGUCCUGGAUCAUACCUCAGUUGGGAAGUAUAAAUCCCCGUUAUUGAGAAAAUACACGGGCUUGCCUUGUUGAGCUUGGCAGUUCAAAUUAUUGAGGUCAAGCCAGCCGCCACUUUAUGUCCUUCUGCGUUAUUUAUAUUCCUUAUUUACGCUUGUGUAAUUACGGUAAUGACGUUGUCCCCUUGGAGGAACUGAAUAGGUCGUCAACGAAAGGGCGAUUUGCCGUCACUUUUAUUGACUUGACAGUAGACAGGCUUGUGGAGUAACGGAAUACAGUAACGGGCGUUACGUAAUCAGGGUACAAAAAAAAUGUAACUUCCAAUAAAGUGGCAGAGAA